AUUGAACGCUGGCGGCAGGCUUAACACAUGCAAGUCGAACGAGUGGCGGAUGGGUGAGUAAUGCUUGGGAAUCUAGCUUAUGGCGGGGGAUAACUACGGGAAACUGUAGCUAAUACCGCAUACCAUCGGAUGUGCCCAGAUGGGAUUAGCUAGUGGGUGGGGUAACGGCUCACCUAGGCGACGAUCCCUAGCUGGUCUGAGAGGAUGACCAGCCACACUGGAACUGAGACACGGUCCAGACUCCUACGGGAGGCAGCAGUGGGGAAUAUUGCACAAUGGGCGCAAGCCUGAUGCGGCCAUGCCGCGUGUAUGAAGAAGGCCUUCGGGUUGUAAAGUACUUUCAGCGAGGAGGCGUUACUCGCAGAAGAAGCACCGGCUAACUCCGUGCCAGCAGCCGCGGUAAUUC
Molecule: ribosomal RNA, 406 nt
Filed under: uncultured bacterium
Lineage: Bacteria
Description: partial 16S ribosomal RNA
Rfam family: Bacterial small subunit ribosomal RNA
Source: RNAcentral